GGCAGGGUUUUGUCUUGAACUCACUUUGUGGCCCAGGCUGGCCUCAAACUCACGGUGAUCCUCCUGUCCUAGCCUUUCAAGUGCUGGUAUUACAAGCAUAUACCAGAGAGCUGGCUAGAGUUCUGUCAUGGGCCAGUAACUGGAAUGGUGAACAAAAACCUGAGACCCUGAGGACUUCAUGGAGCUGAACUGCUACCUGAAAAAUAGAUACAGUCCCAGCGUGUCCUCACCUGAUAUCUCCUUUUGUCUGUGAGAAAGGGAGAAGGAGCUGCCCUUUUGUAGGUCCACCACCAAGCUGCUAUAAUGUUAUCACAUGUAUGACUUUUCACAGUUUCUCGGGAGCCGGGCCUCUCCCAGCUGCUCACGGGAUAGGCAGAAUUUCCUGACGCCCUGAGCGUGCGUUGUGUUCCAGGUAGACAGAGGACAGAAAGACUGCUCUGCUAUCCACCUUCACCUAAGUGACCUAGGUGGGAGUGGCUCGUUUAAAGCCCAGAUGAUCAUUAUGAAUGGACGAGACUUCUCAGUGUUUCUCUGUAAGUUUGCAUUUCUCAUUAGUCAUCAAUUUUUAACAGUUUAAAGUUCAUUAUUAAAUUUUUUACUUUUUCAAUGUUAA
Cavia porcellus (domestic guinea pig) is the source of this 613-nucleotide long non-coding RNA. RefSeq lists it as uncharacterized. NCBI's taxonomy places the organism in Eukaryota, Metazoa, Chordata, Mammalia, Rodentia, Caviidae. The record is from RefSeq and is a predicted model, not a curated record. The transcript has 2 exons.